This 550-nucleotide ribosomal RNA is filed under the name uncultured bacterium. RNAcentral's name for it is "bacterial SSU rRNA". It matches the Rfam family "Bacterial small subunit ribosomal RNA", at positions 355 to 896 of the family's 1533-position model. The record is from RNAcentral.
UAGGGAAUCUUCCGCAAUGGGCGAAAGCCUGACGGAGCAACGCCGCGUGAGUGAUGAAGGUCUUCGGAUCGUAAAACUCUGUUAUUAGGGAAGAACAUAUGUGUAAGUAACUGUGCACAUCUUGACGGUACCUAAUCAGAAAGCCACGGCUAACUACGUGCCAGCAGCCGCGGUAAUACGUAGGUGGCAAGCGUUAUCCGGAAUUAUUGGGCGUAAAGCGCGCGUAGGCGGUUUUUUAAGUCUGAUGUGAAAGCCCACGGCUCAACCGUGGAGGGUCAUUGGAAACUGGAAAACUUGAGUGCAGAAGAGGAAAGUGGAAUUCCAUGUGUAGCGGUGAAAUGCGCAGAGAUAUGGAGGAACACCAGUGGCGAAGGCGACUUUCUGGUCUGUAACUGACGCUGAUGUGCGAAAGCGUGGGGAUCAAACAGGAUUAGAUACCCUGGUAGUCCACGCCGUAAACGAUGAGUGCUAAGUGUUAGGGGGUUUCCGCCCCUUAGUGCUGCAGCUAACGCAUUAAGCACUCCGCCUGGGGAGUACGGCCGCAAGGUUG